AAAAGCAGCGAUCGCAUUCAGAGCAUCGAGACGAGAGACACCGGCCGAUAGUUUUGCUUCAUUUUUAAAUUGUUAUACUGCGGUGACUGCGACACGGUGGAUCGUUAGCUGGUUUAUUUAAAUAACAUAACUUUGUAGUUACAAAACUGAUUGAAUAUCUGAGUGGAACGGUCGGGCGGCGUCCAGCAGAUAAUGGACCGCUGCAAAACUAAGGCUCAGGACUCAUGGCUCACGGCGGGCGGCGGCAUUUACGUUUAGACGGAGCGGGGUCCCGCCCGGCCAUCUACGAGGGAAAAAAGAAUUCGUAGUAAUACAAUGUCGAAUAAUUACUUCGUGCGCAGAAUAUAUUUAUUAGUCUAAUAACGGGAUAAACCAAAUAUAAACAGAGCACAAUAGAGUAAAGGGUCACCACCCUGUUUGUCACAGAGAGCUCUAGUGAGAGUAGUCUCAGUUCUAAUCAAGGUGAGAUGGCCAGCCACGCGGGGUGCAACAGGGUACAUCAGACCAUUCCUGGACUCUGCUUUCUUCCAUUCUUACUAUCUUCAUUGAAUGAUGGUGGAAGAAAACUGUUUUGGCGACAAAACUUCAGCGUACUGUUGUCCUCUAUGUGUGUCUUGUACAUUUAAUAAUUUUAGUUACCUAUAUAUUUUUUUUGUUUAAUGAACUGAACUAACUAUAGAGUAGUGCGGUCGGGAUGGAUGCCAGGGCCAGACCUCGUGUUUGUGAACUCGAAUACCCACAAGCGAAAUAUAAAUAAAGCGGAAUAUAAUAACAUAAUUUAGUUCAGCCGACGUUGUUUGUUUGCACCGGCUCUGUGUACACAGACCGGCGGCGGCGGCGGCUGAUUCGCGGACGGUAUAUCAAUAGCAAUCGUCAAUAGUACUCACAAAUUAACAUAGCCCGACAAAUUUCUGAGAAUCAAUUUAAAAAUAGAACGUACUGUAAUAUAUUAUUUGUACAUCGAAAUCGUGUGUCUCAAGAUGGAAGUUGUCAGGGCACCGACCACCCUGGCGGGCCUGGGGCUUGCUUCUAUACAGAGAAAUUAAUAAAACGAUACAAAUUCAACAUAUUAUGUAAAACAACUGAAAAAGCCUUUUAAAGAAAAGAUAAAUAUUUGUCCUUUAUAGCCUCAUAAUAUACCUAUUUCUAACAAUUCGUUUUUCAUAAUUAGGCCUCGUAAACUGUUAAAAAGUUUUUGUUGUAUUCACGAAAAUCAACAUUUUUAACCAUUCAGCGCGAUCCGUUCACGACUAGUUUUUUGUCUCGAUCUUCGAAUUGUUUGGUUAUUGUUUCCAUUUUAUCGUACCUUCAUGUUAUUUGUUGGUGAACAAACAGGGAACGUAAUACUGCUUAGUAAGCUGCUUCGUUCUUCGUGAGUUUCGGUGAUUAGGAAAUAAUAGCCAAUUAGGAAAUAAAAACCGAAAAUGCAUGAGUUAUUACCCGAUUACAAAAUCAGAAGUCUGUUAGCAGUGGAAGUUGCCGCGAUAAAGUGAUAAUGAAUUAAUUAUGUACACGAUACGUGUGGCUACGUCCUGCCUGCUUCUACUGCGAAACAAUAGCUGUAGGUACUUGUUUGGUGAGCUCUGUACAAGAGAAUUGAAUGCACUUGUUGUCUUGCGGUAGGAUCAGCAGCAAUUCGGACCAUCCAGUGUAUCCAGAGUAUCCAUCCAGAGUAUCCAGUCGGACACGUCCAUUGCCGACUGUACACUACAGAAAACUGUUCAGCCAAAAUCGCCAUUGUAUUGUAUACGGAAUUUACUGUAGGUACUUGUGAAGUUGCGACUGGGAAGAAAUAACAAUAAAAAAAAAGUGAGCCGUCACGGGACGCCUGGCAGAUGUGAAACUUCGACAUUAUUUUGUAAAAGUAAUAUUAUGCAGAAUAGAUUGUGAUAGGAACUAAAUAUGUAUGUCAUAAUGAUAAAAUAAAAUAUUACGAAAAA
Long non-coding RNA from Bombyx mori (domestic silkworm), 1940 nucleotides. RefSeq lists it as uncharacterized. The record is from RefSeq and is a predicted model, not a curated record. NCBI's taxonomy places the organism in Eukaryota, Metazoa, Arthropoda, Insecta, Lepidoptera, Bombycidae. The transcript has 2 exons.